UACACGACCGUACCGCAAACCGACACUGGUGCGCGAGAUGAGUAUUCUAAGGCGCUUGAGAGAACUCAGGAGAAGGAACUCGGCAAAUUGACACCGUAACUUCGGAAGAAGGUGUGCCUUUAGUAGGUGAAGGGAUUUACUCCUGGAGCCCAAUGAGGUUGCAAAAAAUCGGUGGCUGCGACUGUUUAUUAAAAACACAGCACUCUGCAAACACGAAAGUGGACGUAUAGGGUGUGACGCCUGCCCGGUGCUGGAAGAUUAAAUGAUGGGGUGCAAGCUCUUGAUUGAAGUCCCAGUAAACGGCGGCCGUAACAAUAACGGUCCUAAGGUAGCGAAAUUCCUUGUCGGGUAAGUUCCGACCUGCACGAAUGGCGUAACGAUGGCCACACUGUCUCCUCCUGAGACUCAGCGAAGUUGAAAUGUUUGUGAUGAUGCAAUCUCCCCGCGGAAAGACGGAAAGACCCCAUGAACCUUUACUGUAGCUUUGUAUUGGACUUUGAACAGAUCUGUGUAGGAUAGGUGGGAGGCUUUGAAGCAGGGUCGCUAGAUCUUGUGGAGCCAACGUUGAAAUACCACCCUGGUGUGUUUGAGGUUCUAACCUAGGCCCGUAAUCCGGGUUGGGGACAGUGCAUGGUAGGCAGUUUGACUGGGGCGGUCUCCUCCCAAAGUGUAACGGAGGAGUUCGAAGGUACACUAGUUACGGUCGGACAUCGUGACGAUAGUGCAAUGGCAUAAGCGUGCUUAACUGCGAGACUGACAAGUCGAGCAGAUGCGAAAGCAGGACAUAGUGAUCCGGUGGUUCUGUAUGGAAGGGCCAUCGCUCAACGGAUAAAAGGUACUCUGGGGAUAACAGGCUGAUACCGCCCAAGAGUUCAUAUCGACGGCGGUGUUUGGCACCUCGAUGUCGGCUCAUCUCAUCCUGGGGCUGUAGCCGGUCCCAAGGGUAUGGCUGUUCGCCAUUUAAAGAGGUACGUGAGCUGGGUUUAAAACGUCGUGAGACAGUUUGGUCCCUAUCUUCCGUGGGCGCUGCAGAUUUGAGGAAGCCUGCUCCUAGUACGAGAGGACCGGAGUGGACGCACCUCUGGUGUAUCGGUUGUCACGCCAGUGGCAUUGCCGAGUAGCUAUGUGCGGAAGAGAUAACCGCUGAAAGCAUCUAAGCGGGAAACUCGUUUCAAGAUGAGAUCUGCCGGGGCCUUGAGCCCCCUGAAGAGUCGUUCAAGACCAGGACGUUGAUAGGUCGGGUGUGGAAGCGCAGUAAUGCGUUAAGCUAACCGAUACUAAUUGCUCGUGCGGCUUGACCCU
Molecule: ribosomal RNA, 1302 nt
Filed under: metagenome
Description: bacterial LSU rRNA
Rfam family: Bacterial large subunit ribosomal RNA
Source: RNAcentral